This is a non-coding RNA of Sinocyclocheilus anshuiensis, 598 nucleotides long. The record is from the annotation of a RefSeq genome assembly. NCBI's taxonomy places the organism in Eukaryota, Metazoa, Chordata, Actinopteri, Cypriniformes, Cyprinidae.
AUGGACAGAUGGUUCAUACUGAUUCUUAUUGUGGGAACAGGUUUGGUGACUGGAGACAGCAUUGAGCCAGAUAAAGGGACAGAAAAAAACUCUAAAGAAACAGAAACUGUCAAGCUGAGCUGCUCAAGAUCUGGAUUUAGAUGAUACUUGAGUCUUAAAGCAGGAAAAAUGACACACUGGAUAAAACAAACUAUUAUUGUUUUCAUUUAUGUCUGGCGAAUAGAAUCACAGGACAGCGUUGAGCAGAAAACAAGAGUUCAGACUGCUUAUGAAGGUGGAACUGUAAUAAUCAACUGUACAUAUCAAACUUCGUACUCUACGACUCUCUUUUGGUAUCAGCAAAAAGUAAACAGAGUCCCCAAAUAUAUGCUGAACAGAGUUGGUAAGACUGGAGAUGAAGACAAAGAGUUCAAAGACCGAUUUAAUGCACAUAUCGACACAUCUUCAAAAUCAGUUCCACUGACAAUCCAGAAUCUGCGAGUGUCUGACUCUGCUGUGUACUACUGUGCUCUGAGGCCCACAGUGACUGAAACACACUCAACACUCACACAAGAACCUUCAUCAUUCAGUCAGUUCUGACGAUUGUAGCUUUUUCUAA